Molecule: long non-coding RNA, 2430 nt
Organism: Panicum virgatum (switchgrass)
Lineage: Eukaryota; Viridiplantae; Streptophyta; Magnoliopsida; Poales; Poaceae
Exons: 7
Source: RefSeq, a predicted model, not a curated record
UCGGGAAAAAAGACGCGUCCCGCAUCGGCAAAUCCCCGUCUCGCGCCCCUCCUCGCGCCGCCGUCCUCCUCCCCGUCGCCCUUUGCCUCGCGUCGCCCUUCGCUGCCAGACCGACGCCGCCUCUCCUCCCAGGCCGCCGCCGCCGCUCCCGCGCCUCCCAGGUCGACGGGGCCAAGCCGGCGCCCUCCUCCCAGACCGACGCCGCCGCUCCCUUCGCCUCCCAGAUUGGGCCCCGUCCUCGGCCGCCGGCGUCGUCCUCCUCGGCCGGCUCGCGCGCCCCUACUCCGCCAGCUCGACGCCGAGGGCCCGCGCGCCUGUCUCCGGCGGCCCGCGCGCUCCUCCUCCCGCUCUCUCCUCCAAUCGCGCGGAUCGACAAUCAGUUCGCGGAACCGCUGACCUCCAUUCGUGCGGAUCCAUGGGCCGCCAUGGCGCCGCUUGCCAGACGGGCCACCGCGCAUCUCCGGCCGGUCCUCGCACUCCGGCAUCGCCAGCCACCUCCGUGCCGACGACGAGCGGGGGGACACGCUGCUCUCCCACAACCUACGGGCGGCUCCGGGCUCCCCGGCGUCGGCGUCGGCGUCGCGGUGCUCCUCUCCGCCGACGAAGGCUCGCCGCGCCUCUCUCCUUCAACUCGUGCCCGGCCCUCGCUCCGGCUUAGCGGGGUGCCUUUCCCCCAAUCUGAUGCCGACCCUCGCUCUCCGGCCUCGCGUGGCGCAUCUCCCCUUCCACCAUCUACCAGCGCCGUCCACCGUCCGCUGCCGUCCUCCACAGCGAGGGGUGCCCCUAUUCACCGCCGCGAGAGGGUCCCCGUCCGCCUUACCGACGAAUUCCCCAUCGCGCGGCCACGCCACCAUGCCCUUCGAGGCUUCGACCGGUGCAGGUGCAGGGGACGCCCGCGAAAAGCAGCGAACGAGCCGCUGCAGGCGCCUUCUCCCGCCGCGCCACCGCAUGUCUCCCGCUGCCCCUGCCACCAUGUGCAGGUCGACCAAUCUCAGUCCCCCUGUCAGGUUGGAGAGGAAGUUCUUGAUUUCAGGAGGAGUUCUGCAUGCAUUUAUAACUCUCGAAGAGCGAGUAAGAAGAAAUACAUAUAUGUGCACUGCAGGCCAUUUUAGUUCUCUGGCUACGUUGUCUUAAACGCAGGAUUGUACUCUCUGGUUCCAUGUUUAACGUUGCCAUGCCAUGGUCUCAGGAUCAAUUUCUGCUCCCUCCCGAAGUUAACCUGACAUUACUGCCAAUCUGAUGGAGCAUCUCACAUCCUGUUCCUAUCUAUUUCCAGGUGCCACUAGCCACCAGCAGAGCCUGCAGUCGUCCAUCAACAGCGUGUCCCUGCUUAUUGCUCUAUUAUCUUUCAAUAGUUAAGAAGAUGGACAUCUUAAUGGAUACAGACUUAAAUGGUUGAGUCUAACAGCCUCUACUUAGGUCCUUUCAGCUUCAAUCUGACAUGCUGUUUGUAUACUCUCAAGAAUUCUCUGCUAUGGAUGAAUAAAUCUAGAGAGAUUGCGUACAUGAAUUUCAAAAUUAAAACAAAGAACUAGAUAUCAAGUUCGCAGAACAAACAAGAUUCAAGGCACUUGCACAUCACAGUUAAUAAAGGUAAGAUUACGACCUUAGUUGAAAUAGGUGGCUGGCUCCGUGGCAAGUCUGGAAAGUGGAUGCCAAAUGUUUCAAUUGGCUUAUCAUGGUUGCGAUGAUAAGCCUGCAUCAGUCGUGCCUGCAGCGUUCCUGGCUAAUAGCCGCAGAAAUGACUAAUUCAGUUUAGAUUUUGGUCUUUGAUGGGAUAUGUGGGGAUCCUUUCCGGGGCUGCCAAUAGGUUAACUCUUACUAACCUGUUCAAUGAACAAAAGGAGAUCCUGGAAGCGAGGUUCAUCUAUGACAGGGAUAAUUCUAGAUCAAGCAGGUUUGGUUUUAUCACAUGGGCCUCUGAUGAAGGUGUUGAGGAUCAAUCUUGAUGGCACUUUUUUUUCGUGAGGUGUGAAGCUUCUCCCGGUUAGAGUUCUACACAUGGUUUUUAUUUGGUGAAGUGGUACUGUCUUCAAGAAACAACUGAAGGGUUGCAUCCUAUGACAUUAUAGAAUGUCACCUGUUGUGUCGCUUUUGAAAGAAGAAAUAAGGCAGAAAGGAGAGCAGUAGAUUGCCACAACAACUGAGCUCAAUAGGCCGCACACUAAUUUUUUUGUUUUACAAUGAUCUCCACUUUGCCUUUUGUUAUGCAUCACUGUAAAUUCUAAACCCCCCUUUUAUAGGUAUUUUAGUUCAGCGCAAACCAAAUUCCUGGUUAUUGAUUGAGAAUUGAUUUACGUAUUUUUCUAUUUGUUAGUUUCCAAUUUGAUACUCUAGACCUAUACUGUUUUGAGCAACAUUCUGUAUAUAGUUGGAUGGUUUUGGCAAAUUUGAUUAUGAUCUUAACGAGGGAAUGCUACAAUGCCUUAA